RNAcentral lists this ribosomal RNA (253 nucleotides) under uncultured bacterium. RNAcentral's name for it is "partial 16S ribosomal RNA". It matches the Rfam family "Bacterial small subunit ribosomal RNA", at positions 524 to 776 of the family's 1533-position model. The record is from RNAcentral.
UACGGAGGGUGCAAGCGUUCUCCGGAUUCACUGGGUUUAAAGGGUGCGUAGGUGGGCAGGUAAGUCAGUGGUGAAAUCUCCGGGCUUAACCCGGAAACUGCCAUUGAUACUAUCAGUCUUGAAUACCGUGGAGGUAAGCGGAAUAUGUCAUGUAGCGGUGAAAUGCUUAGAUAUGACAUAGAACACCAAUUGCGAAGGCAGCUUACUACCCGAAUAUUGACACUGAGGCACGAAAGCGUGGGGAUCAAACAGG